GGGCGACUAGCUCAAUUGGUAGAGCAAUUCCCUCUUAAGGAAUAGGUUCAGGGUUCGAGACCCUGGUCGCUCACAA
Molecule: transfer RNA, 76 nt
Filed under: Candidatus Levybacteria bacterium RIFCSPHIGHO2_01_FULL_36_15
Lineage: Bacteria; Candidatus Levyibacteriota
Also listed under: 1 other name
Description: tRNA-Lys
Rfam family: tRNA
About the family: Transfer RNA (tRNA) molecules are approximately 80 nucleotides in length.
Source: RNAcentral